This 497-nucleotide ribosomal RNA is filed under the name uncultured bacterium. RNAcentral describes it as "partial 16S ribosomal RNA". It matches the Rfam family "Bacterial small subunit ribosomal RNA", at positions 28 to 507 of the family's 1533-position model. The record is from RNAcentral.
GAUGAACGCUGGCGGCGUGCCUAAUACAUGCAAGUCGAGCGAACAGACGAGGAGCUUGCUCCUCUGACGUUAGCGGCGGACGGGUGAGUAACACGUGGGUACCCUACCUAUAAGACUGGGAUGACUUCGGGAAACCGGAUCUAAUACCGGACAAUAUAUUGAACCGCAUGGUUCAAUAGUGAAAGACGGUUUUGCUGUCCCUUAUAGAUGGUUCCGCGCCGCAUUAGCUAGUUGGUAAGGUAACGGCUUACCAAGGCGACGAUGCGUAGCCGACCUGAGAGGGUGAUCAGCCACACUGGAACUGAGACACGGCCCAGACUCCUACGGGAGGCAGCAGUAGGGAAUCUUCCGCAAUGGGCGAAAGCCUGACGCAGCAACGCCGCGUGAGUGAUGAAGGUCUUCGGAUUGUAAAACGCUUUUGUUCGGGAAGAACAAAUGUGGAAGAAACUAUGGGCGUCAUGACGGUACCGGAUGAAAAAGCAACGGCUAACUACGUG